AAAAGAGAGAUAGAGACAGACAGAAAGGAAAUGUCCCUUGCAUUUGAAAACUAUGGAAAUAUUUUUUUUUUAAGUAUUUCAUUUAAUAUUUCCACAAUUUAAUUGCUUUUCAUGAUUUACUCUAGUUGAAAAAGUCGCAAAGACUGAAACUGGAACUAAAAUGUUCUUGAUGAUAAAAUUAUUUUAGCAUUUUCUACCUUGUCUUAUUUUCCUUAUAUACACAAAUACAUAUAUACAUAUAUUGGACAUAUAGUUUUAACAUUUCCAGUGGUUUCCCUUUUCAAAAAAACUCGUUGUAAAUGUUUCACGAGCACUCGAGCAAACGGACUCCUCAACUUGUCCAAAGGUUUUCAAAGCACCAGCAGGCCUCAAGAGACACAUGUGUAAAAUAUAUAUAAUCAGUUAACAUUAUAUUGCACAGUAGCGUAUGCGUUAAAAAGGAUUCGUUACAUCGAAGAUACUUUAGCAUGAACCCAUUCGACUCUGUCCAGAAUAUUGCUUUCGUCAAACGAUUCUAUAUCUACCAAUAUAUUGAGAGAGAAAAAAGCCAUAAAAAAUGAAAUGUCUGCAGAAGAAUCAAAAAUAAAUGAAGAAAGGUUCAGUUUAGAAGAAAACACCUGCAAUAGUGAACUAAAUAAUUGAUGAGUUGAAUAUCUGCUAACAAAAGACCGGUCAAAUGUGUUGUUGACUAAUUUCAUUGAACAUGUCUUCGAACCAAACAACCGAACAUAUAGUGGAGGGGAGAGGCGCCAUUGGCAGGAGGAA
Molecule: long non-coding RNA, 765 nt
Organism: Octopus bimaculoides (California two-spot octopus)
Lineage: Eukaryota; Metazoa; Mollusca; Cephalopoda; Octopoda; Octopodidae
Source: RefSeq, a predicted model, not a curated record